This 459-nucleotide ribosomal RNA is filed under the name uncultured bacterium. RNAcentral describes it as "partial 16S ribosomal RNA". It matches the Rfam family "Bacterial small subunit ribosomal RNA", at positions 338 to 795 of the family's 1533-position model. The record is from RNAcentral.
CCUACGGGAGGCAGCAGUGAGGAAUAUUGGUCAAUGGCCGAGAGGCUGAACCAGCCAAGUCGCGUGAGGGAAGAAUGUCCUAUGGAUUGUAAACCUCUUUUGUCAGGGAGCAAAGUCACCCACGUGUGGGUGUUGGAGAGUACCUGAAGAAAAAGCAUCGGCUAACUCCGUGCCAGCAGCCGCGGUAAUACGGGGGAUGCGAGCGUUAUCCGGAUUUAUUGGGUUUAAAGGGUGCGUAGGCGGGUUAUCAAGUCAGCGGUAAAAUCGUGGAGCGAAACUCCAUCCAGCCGGUGAAACUGAUGAUCUUGAGUGGGCGAGAAGUAUGCGGAAUGCGUGGUGUAGCGGUGAAAUGCAUAGAUAUCAGGCAGAACUCCGAUUGCGAAGGCAGCAUACCGGCGCCCGACUGACGCUGAAGCACGAAAGCGUGGGUAGCGAACAGGAUUAGAUACCCCAGUAGUC